GACGAACGCUGGCGGCGUGCUUAACACAUGCAAGUCGAACGGCAAGGCCCUGCUUUUGUGGGGUGCUCGAGUGGCGAACGGGUGAGUAACACGUGAGUAACCUGCCCUUGACUUUGGGAUAACUUCAGGAAACUGGGGCUAAUACCGGAUAGGAGCUCCUGCUGCAUGGUGGGGGUUGGAAAGUUUCGGCGGGUGGGGAUGGACUCGCGGCUUAUCAGCUUGUUGGUGGGGUAGUGGCUUACCAAGGCUUUGACGGGUAGCCGGCCUGAGAGGGUGACCGGCCACAUUGGGACUGAGAUACGGCCCAGACUCCUACGGGAGGCAGCAGUGGGGAAUAUUGCACAAUGGGCGGAAGCCUGAUGCAGCAACGCCGCGUGCGGGAUGACGGCCUUCGGGUUGUAAACCGCUUUCGCCUGUGACGAAGCGUGAGUGACGGUAAUGGGUAAAGAAGCACCGGCUAACUACGUG
Molecule: ribosomal RNA, 468 nt
Filed under: uncultured bacterium
Lineage: Bacteria
Description: partial 16S ribosomal RNA
Rfam family: Bacterial small subunit ribosomal RNA
Source: RNAcentral